RNAcentral lists this transfer RNA (76 nucleotides) under Acidobacteriota bacterium. RNAcentral's name for it is "Acidobacteria bacterium tRNA-Leu". It matches the Rfam family "tRNA". Rfam says of the family: Transfer RNA (tRNA) molecules are approximately 80 nucleotides in length. Their secondary structure includes four short double-helical elements and three loops (D, anti-codon, and T loops). Lineage: Bacteria; Pseudomonadati; Acidobacteriota. RNAcentral also lists the same sequence under 1 other name. The record is from RNAcentral.
AGCUCCGUAGCCCAACGGCAGAGGCAGCGGACCGAGAUUCCAUCCAGUGGGAGUUCGAAUCUCCCCGGAGCUACCA